RNAcentral lists this small RNA (389 nucleotides) under Pan troglodytes (chimpanzee). RNAcentral describes it as "processed transcript". Lineage: Eukaryota; Metazoa; Chordata; Mammalia; Primates; Hominidae. The record is from RNAcentral.
CCGCCGCCUGCUUCCUCUGCUCGCGGUUAGCCCGUCAGUCCCUGCUCUGUGCGCGCCUCCAUCUAGGCCAUGGAUGGGCUUUCUUAGAAAUGGCUUCUGAGGAAGCUGCCGUUACUAUGGUGAAUUAUUACACUCCUAUUACUCCUCACCUUCGAAGCCAGCCUGUUUAUAUUCAGUAUUCCAAUCACAGAGAACUUAAGACUGACAAUCUACCUAAUCAAGCUCGAGCCCAAGCUGCACUGCAGGCUGUCAGUGCCGUCCAAUCAGGAAGCCUGGCCCUUUCUGGAGGUCCUUCCAAUGAAGGCACAGUCCUACCUGGGCAGAGCCCUGUGCUUCGAAUAAUUAUUGAAAACCUCUUUUACCCUGUUACCCUGGAAGUUCUUCAUCAG